Molecule: ribosomal RNA, 253 nt
Filed under: uncultured bacterium
Lineage: Bacteria
Description: partial 16S ribosomal RNA
Rfam family: Bacterial small subunit ribosomal RNA
Source: RNAcentral
UACGUAGGUGGCAAGCGUUAUCCGGAAUUACUGGGCGUAAAGCGCACGCAGGCGGUCUUUUAAGUUUGACGUGAAAGCUCCCGGCUUAACUGGGAGAGGUCGUUGAAGACUGGAAGACUUGAGGCAAUGAGAGGGGUGUAGAAUUCCCGGUGUAGUGGUGGAAUGCGUAGAUAUCGGGGGGAAUACCAGUGGCGAAAGCGGCACCCUAGCGUUAGCCUGACGCUCAUGUGCGAAAGCAUGGGGAGCGAACGGG